CUCGGCGGGGGGGGGGGUCCCCUCAGCUUGGAUUGCAAGACAGUGCAGGCCAGGCUGAGGGACCUCACCAGUGCACG
Molecule: non-coding RNA, 77 nt
Organism: Myotis brandtii (Brandt's bat)
Lineage: Eukaryota; Metazoa; Chordata; Mammalia; Chiroptera; Vespertilionidae
Source: Rfam